CAGGACGAACGCUGGCGGCGUGCCUAAUACAUGCAAGUCGAACGGCUUUUCUAUGGAAGCUUGCUUCCACUGGGAAGAUAGUGGCGAACGGGUGAGUAACACGUGGGUAACCUGCCCAUAAGAGGGGGAUAACAUCCGGAAACGGGUGCUAAUACCGCAUAGUUUCUUGAUCGCAUGAUCGGGAAAGGAAAGACGGCCUUUGUGCUGUCGCUUAUGGAUGGACCCGCGGCGUAUUAGUUAGUUGGUGAGGUAACGGCUCACCAAGACGAUGAUACGUAGCCGACCUGAGAGGGUGAUCGGCCACAUUGGGACUGAGACACGGCCCAAACUCCUACGGGAGGCAGCAGUAGGGAAUCUUCCGCAAUGGACGAAAGUCUGACGGAGCAACGCCGCGUGAGUGAAGAAAGGUUUUCGGAUCGUAAAACUCUGUUGUCAGAGAAGAACAAGUUGGAGAGUAACUGCUCCAGCCUUGACGGUAUCUGACCAGAAAGCCACGGCUAACUACGUGCCAGCCGCCGC
Molecule: ribosomal RNA, 519 nt
Filed under: uncultured bacterium
Lineage: Bacteria
Description: bacterial SSU rRNA
Rfam family: Bacterial small subunit ribosomal RNA
Source: RNAcentral